UACGUAGGGUGCGAGCGUUGUCCGGAAUUAUUGGGCGUAAAGAGCGCGUAGGCGGCCAGAUAAGUCCGGUGUGAAAGUCAAAGGCUCAACCUUUGAAUGCCGCUGGAAACUGUCUGGCUAGAGUCCGGGAGGGGCGAGUGGAAUUCCUGGUGUAGCGGUGAAAUGCGCAGAUAUCAGGAGGAACACCAAUGGCGAAGGCAGCUCGCUGGAACGGUACUGACGCUGAGGCGCGAAAGCGUGGGGAGCGAACAGG
This 253-nucleotide ribosomal RNA is filed under the name uncultured bacterium. Its description in RNAcentral is "partial 16S ribosomal RNA". It matches the Rfam family "Bacterial small subunit ribosomal RNA", at positions 524 to 776 of the family's 1533-position model. The record is from RNAcentral.